AUGGAGAGACUUGUUAAUGUUCAUUAUAUUGACAAGGAGGCAUUCUUGAGUAACAAUGCCGACACGGGUGAGGAACCAUUGGUUUUUGAUACAAGCCCUAGCUAUGAGGAUGUUGUUGCAAAAGUGAGACAAGUCUUGAAGUGGAUGGACACCAAUGUUGAUGUUAAGUUAAUAGGAAGGUAUGAUGUUGGAGUUGGAGCCAAAUCUCGCUUGAAAAGUAUGCCUAUCACCUCGGAUUUGCAUUGGGAUGUAUACAAGGAAAAAGUAUCCCAAUCGGAAGACAAGUCACUUGAAUUGUUUGCCACCAAGGUUGAAUCUCCUCGGUUUACCUUUAAUUUGAACCGGCAUGUCUCUUCCCCAAUGGAUGACAUGAGCGUUGAGUUGUAUGCCCCCAAUGCUUCUAGCCAACCACCAACUAGCCAA
Molecule: ribosomal RNA, 423 nt
Filed under: Triticum aestivum (bread wheat)
Lineage: Eukaryota; Viridiplantae; Streptophyta; Magnoliopsida; Poales; Poaceae
Description: partial small subunit ribosomal RNA
Source: RNAcentral